RNAcentral lists this ribosomal RNA (253 nucleotides) under uncultured bacterium. Its description in RNAcentral is "partial 16S ribosomal RNA". It matches the Rfam family "Bacterial small subunit ribosomal RNA", at positions 524 to 776 of the family's 1533-position model. The record is from RNAcentral.
UACGAAGGGGGCUAGCGUUGCUCGGAAUCACUGGGCGUAAAGGGUUCGUAGGCGGUGUGGCAAGUCGGGAGUGAAAUCUCUGGGCUCAACCCAGAGACUGCUUCCGAAACUGCUGUGCUUGAGUGUGGGAGAGGCGCGUGGAAUUGCAGGUGUAGCGGUGAAAUGCGUAGAUAUCUGCAGGAACACCCGUGGCGAAAGCGGCGCGCUGGACCACUACUGACGCUGAGGAACGAAAGCUAGGGGAGCAAACAGG